Molecule: small RNA, 2859 nt
Filed under: Lecanicillium sp. MT-2017a
Lineage: Eukaryota; Fungi; Ascomycota; Sordariomycetes; Hypocreales; Cordycipitaceae
Description: bacterial LSU rRNA
Rfam family: Bacterial large subunit ribosomal RNA (bases 231-2596)
Source: RNAcentral
CAUCCGUUCGAAUCGGAUAUUCUCUGUAAGAGUGUAGUUUAAUUGGCAAAAUAGGAAGCUUCAACCUUCAAAUUCUUGGUUCGAGUCCAAGUACUCUUGUAUAAGCGGGUUGUGGCUGAGUGGUAAAGCGCUUUCUUUGGGAGAAAGAGCUCCUAGGUUCAAUUCCUAGCAACCCGACAUAUUUAGAACAAAUAGAAAUAAAAAAGAUAUAUAAAUUAUACUUAUAAAAAUAUAAGUAUACAAAGAAAUUAUUAUGGAAUUUAAGCUAUGUAUUAAAGAGAAUAAUUUAUAAAAAUAAGAUAAUAUAUCUUAUUAAUAUAUAAACUCUAAAAGAAAUUUUAUAUUAAACGAAGUGAAUUGAAAUAUCUUAGUAACUUUAGGAAAAGAAAUCAAAAGAGAUUCUAUAAAUAGCGUGAGUGAAAAUAGAAAAGUCUAAAAAUUAAAACGGUAUUUAAACUGUUUGAAGUAUAUGGGGAACCUUCCUCAAAGACUAAAUAUAAUACAUAAGCGAUAGUGAAAAGUACCGUGAGGGAACCAAAAUAUAAAUAGUAAUUUUAUAAGCAGUUCUAAUAAAAAAGAACGUACCUUUUGCAUAAUGGGUCACCAAGUUAACAUUAGAUGCGAGAUAAUCCGUAGAUAAACCAAACGUUAAAAUAACGCUUAGUGUCUAAAGUUAGACCCGAAGCCUGGUGAUUUUACCAUAAUCAGGAUUUUAAAGGUCCGAACGGGUGAUUGUAGCAAAAAUCUCCGAAGAAUUGUGGUAGGUAUAGUGAAAGACAAUACUGACUAGGAUAGCUGGUUUUCUGCGAAACCUAUAAUAGUAGGCAAUUUAAGUAAAUAUCUUAGCAGGUACAGAACUUAAUCUCAGACAAUUUCGUAUUGUACAAAUUGGGGGAUCGUGAAGAUUUUAUCAGUGAGUAUGCAGACUCGGAAUGGCAAAGAUAUGUCUUAAAUUAUCAGACAUAGAAUGAUAAGGUUGUAUGUCAAAAGGGAAACAGCCCAGAACAAGAGUUAAGGUUCCUAAAUUAUUAGUUAAGUGAAAUUAAGAAAGUUUUUAUUAAAGUCGACAAGGAGAUAGGCUUAGAAGCAGCCAUAAUUUUAUGACCUCGUAACAGAGCGCUUGUUAAGUUAUAAAAGCAUCGAAAAUUUAACGGAUCUAAACAAUAUACCGAAACCUUGUCCAUAAAUAUUUCUAAUAAUUCAUUAGAUGUUUAUGGGGUAGCAGAACAUUGAGUUAAACUAUGAAUUUUAUUUUGAUAAUAAAAUAAUUAUAACUCAAGUGAGAAUGGUGACAUGAGUAACGAAAAGAAAUUUGAAAAAAUUUCCGCCUAAAGCUUAUGGAUAGAAUUAAGUAACGGCCUCUAAAUUUGUAUUAUCUAAAGAUUCAAAUGAUGAGAAAAUCUUAAUUAUUAAUGACGACAUUUUAGUGAAAAAUGUACAGGAAAAAUAAUAAUAUAUUUAUUAUAUUUAUAUAAUAAAUUAAAUAGAACCGUACCUAGAAUCUGAAACAAGUAAGCUAGUAGAGUAUACGAAGGCGUAAAUGAGCUAACAAUCAUAAAGGAACUCGGCAAAUUGACUACCGUAACUUCGGAAUAAGGAGGGCUCAUUAUUCUUGAUUAAUAUCAAGUAAAGAGGAAGAAGCAUGAAAUAAUGUUGUACGACUGUUUAAUUAAAACACAGCACUUUGCUGAAAGAUUAAAAAUCUAUGUAUAAAGUGUGAUAUCUGCCCGGUGCCGGCUGGUUAACAGAGAGAAUUAAAUAUAAUACUAUUUGAUGUCGACGGAAACCCCGGUUAAAGGCGGCCUUAACGUGAGGGUCCUAAGGUAGCGAAAUGCCUUGGCCGUUAAAUGCGGUCUUGCAUGAAUGGUGUAACGAUACAACAGCUGUCUCUAUGAUUGACUCAGUGAAAUUGGAAUAGCUGUGCAGAUACAGUUUACCUCUAGUUAGACGAGAAGACCCUAUGCAGCUUUACUGUCACUAAUUAUAGAUUAUGAAAAACGAUUUUCAGACUAUAAGGUAAUUGAUUUUUUGAUCAUGAGAAACCUUUAUUUUUUUUUCAUAUGAAUGAAUUAAUUUACGAUUAUAAUUAAUUUUAUUUUAGUAAAUUAACCUAAUUCAACUUAUCUUUUAUAGAUAAGUACCCUUUGGUAAGGAACUAUCGCUAGGGGACAGUUUAUGUGGGGCACAGACCCUGUAAAGAGUAAACAGGAGUGUCUAAAAAUUUAAUUUAUUUUGUUUGCUAUUUUAAAUAGAUAAUUUAUUAUCUAUUUUUAAUCAUAUAUAUUUGAGUUUAUUUACAAUAUUGUAAAUAUAUUCAAAAUUAGGUAAGAUUUUUACUAUACAGAAAUUAGAGAUAAUCAGAAAUAUUAUUUAUUAUUGUAAUAUUUCUAAACUGUUUAAUAACAGUUAUGUUUUAAAUAUCUACAAAGCUCAACGGCUUAAUCUUGCCUUACUGUUUGAUUAUCUACAAAUCUUACAGUUGCGUAAGCAGGGCAUAGGAUCACAAGAUGCAAUAAGGAAAGAUCUUGGAUUAUUGGAAAAGCUACGCUAGGGAUGUUUGUCCUUUAAUAUUUUAUUUAUUGUUUAUUUUUAUAAAUAUUUAUAUAAAAUUAUUAAUAUAAAUUGGGUAAAUUUCAAGAAUUACUAUUUUUAGUAAACUUGAAGCGAAGUUUAUCUUGGCAUAAAAUUAAGAUAAAAACGUUCAACGACUAUAAGGUGAGUAUUAUGCUGUAAUUACUAUAAUCCUUUUAACACUACCCAACAUUUUGAACAACAUAUUAUAAUUAUAAAAUACCUUAUUACUUUUAAAUUAUGAAAAUUUUUAAUAAUAAUAUCUUAAAAAAUCCUAAAACUAUACUU